Molecule: unclassified non-coding RNA, 269 nt
Filed under: plant metagenome
Description: partial contains small subunit ribosomal RNA, internal transcribed spacer 1, and 5.8S ribosomal RNA
Source: RNAcentral
UUUCCGUAGGUGAACCUGCGGAAGGAUCAUUAAUGAGUUGUCAUGGGGUUCGAUGCUGGCAGCCAAUUUUUGGAUGCAUGUGCUUGCCCUAACAAUCAUCUUCCAAACACCUGUGCACAUUUUUGAGGGUGUCUUGAGUUGGUUGCCGCUCUUGGGUGAUUUUCUCACAUUCCCUUAAAUCAUUAUACGCUAUUAACAAUGUUGAACGUGCUCUGUGCCGCAAGGCUAUUAAUAUAAUACAACUUUUAACAACGGAUCUCUUGGCUCUC